AGCAGCCGCGGUAAUUCCAGCUCCAAUAGCGUAUAUUAAAGUUGUUGCAGUUAAAAAGCUCGUAGUUGAAUUUCGGGGUUAGUAGUUUGGUCGUGCCAAUGGUAUGUACUGGGCUCACUGAUUCCUCCUUCCUGAUGAACUGUAAUGCCAUUAAUUUGGUGUUGCAGGGAAACUGGACUGUUACUUUGAAAAAAUUAGAGUGUUUAAAGCAAGCUAACGCUUGAAUACAUUAGCAUGGAAUAAUGAAAUAGGACGUUCGAUCCUAUUUUGUUGGUUUCUAGGAUUGACGUAAUGAUUAAUAGGGAUAGUUGGGGGCAUUAGUAUUCAAUUGUCAGAGGUGAAAUUCUUGGAUUUAUUGAAGACUAACUACUGCGAAAGCAUUUGCCAAGGAUGUUUUCAUUAAUCAAGAACGAAAGUUAGGGGAUCGAAGACGAUCAGAUACCGUCGUAGUCUUAACCAUAAACUAUGCCGACUAGGGAUCGGAUGAUGUUAAUUUUUAAUGACUCAUUCGGCGCCUUAA
Molecule: ribosomal RNA, 520 nt
Filed under: uncultured Glomus
Lineage: Eukaryota; Fungi; Glomeromycota; Glomeromycetes; Glomerales; Glomeraceae
Description: SSU rRNA
Rfam family: Eukaryotic small subunit ribosomal RNA
Source: RNAcentral